CUACGGGCGCAGCAGUGGGGAAUUUUGCGCAAUGGGCGAAAGCCUGACGCAGCGACGCCGCGUGGAGGAUGAAGGUCUUCGGAUUGUAAACUCCUUUUGUCGGGGAAGAUAAUGACGGUACCCGAUGAAUAAGCCACGGCUAACUCUGUGCCAGCAGCCGCGGUAAGACAGAGGUGGCAAGCGUUGUUCGGAAUUACUGGGCUUAAAGGGCGCGUAGGCGGUGGAGUAAGUCUGAGGUGGAAGAUUAGGGCCUAACCCUAAAAUUGCCUUGGAAACUGCAUCACUUGAGUCAGCGAGGGGAUGGCGGAAUUCCAGGUGUAGCGGUGAAAUGCGUAGAUAUCUGGAGGAAGGCCGGUGGCGAAGGCGGCCAUCUGGCGCUGAACUGACGCUGAGGCGCGAAAGCGUGGGGAGCAAACAGGAUUAGAUACCCUCGUAGUC
RNAcentral lists this ribosomal RNA (438 nucleotides) under uncultured bacterium. RNAcentral's name for it is "partial 16S ribosomal RNA". It matches the Rfam family "Bacterial small subunit ribosomal RNA", at positions 339 to 795 of the family's 1533-position model. The record is from RNAcentral.